AAUGAACGCUGGCGGCAUGCCUAACACAUGCAAGUCGAACGAUGGCAUCGGCCGUAGUGGCGCACGGGUGCGUAACGCGUGGGAAUCUGCCCUCAGGUUCGGAAUAACAGCGAGAAAUUGCUGCUAAUACCGGAUGAUAUCGCGCGCUCCACGAUUUAUCGCAGUAGGCGGCGCCGGGGCAGGAUUAGCUAGUGGGGGUGGUAAAGGCGUACCAAGGCGACGACCCGUAGCUGGUCCGUGAGGCAGAGCAGCCACACUGGGACUGAGACACGGCCCAGACUCUUACGGGAUGCAGCAGAGGCUAAUAUUGGACAAUGGGCUAAAGCCAGAACCAGCAAUGCCUCUUGAGUGAUUAAGGCCUGAGGGUAGUAAAGCUCUUUUACCCGGUAUGAUAAUGACAGUACCGGGAGAAUAAGCUCCGGCUAACUCCGUGCCAGCCGCCGCGGUAA
Molecule: ribosomal RNA, 449 nt
Filed under: uncultured bacterium
Lineage: Bacteria
Description: partial 16S ribosomal RNA
Rfam family: Bacterial small subunit ribosomal RNA
Source: RNAcentral